AGUGAACGCUGGCGGUAGGCCUAACACAUGCAAGUCGAACGGCAGCACAGAGGAGCUUGCUCCUUGGGUGGCGAGUGGCGGACGGGCGAGGAAUACAUCGGAAUCUACUCUGUCGUGGGGGAUAACGUAGGGAAACUUACGCUAAUACCGCAUACGACCUACGGGUGAAAGCAGGGGACCUUCGGGCCUUGCGCGAUUGAAUGAGCCGAUGUCGGAUUAGCUAGUUGGCGGGGUAAAGGCCCACCAAGGCGACGAUCCGUAGCUGGUCUGAGAGGAUGAUCAGCCACACUGGAACUGAGACACGGUCCAGACUCCUACGGGAGGCAGCAGUGGGGAAUAUUGGACAAUGGGCGCAAGCCUGAUCCAGCCAUACCGCGUGGGUGAAGAAGGCCUUCGGGUUGUAAAGCCCUUUUGUUGGGAAAGAGAUCCAGCUGGCUAAUACCCGGUUGGGAUGACGGUACCCAAAGAAUAAGCACCGGCUAACUUCGUGCCAGCCGCCGCGGUAA
Molecule: ribosomal RNA, 506 nt
Filed under: uncultured bacterium
Lineage: Bacteria
Description: partial 16S ribosomal RNA
Rfam family: Bacterial small subunit ribosomal RNA
Source: RNAcentral